This is a long non-coding RNA of Uranotaenia lowii, 823 nucleotides long. RefSeq lists it as uncharacterized. The transcript is spliced from 3 exons. The record is from RefSeq and is a predicted model, not a curated record. Lineage: Eukaryota; Metazoa; Arthropoda; Insecta; Diptera; Culicidae.
GUUCACUGGGUUUGUAUUGAACUGCUCCUAGGAAAUACGGCAGGUGGCAGUGAAGUCACAAAGGUUCCACGUAUCUCUAAACACCUCCUAACGGAUACCAGUUUUCACAUCAGCAUCCUGGAGUUUGCCCUUGGAGAAAUGAAAAUUCAGAAUCUUCGAUCCCAAAAUGCGAGCUCACAUCGAUCCGUUGACCAAUGAAGUGAGGGUACCUUCCCCAUUUCGGGUACUGAUUGAUACCAAGGAAAUCGUCCCGGAUCAACCGAUCACUAAGUUCAACAUGGCUGAUCCAAGUUACGUGUCCCAGCAGGAGUUGAGCAGGGUGCGAAGGUUGAUUGAAAUUUUGCAACUGCGUCUUAUAAGCUUCUAUUUGAAGUCACCAGAUUAGGCUGUGACUAAAUAUUGCAAACUAUUCAAACCUUUAAUUUUAUGUUUGCCCUCCCAGAAAUUGCAUAAUCCUGCAUUUUAGGAACAACAAUCUUUGCUUCACAUCAGCAGCCUGGAGAUUGCCCUUAGACAAAUCAAAAUCUGAUCACCACUUUUAGCGAUCAAGCUCCCAGGGGAAACUUGGAUCCCUAAACGCGUGCCCACUUAGAUCCGUUGACCAAUGAAGUGGUGCGGGUGGCUUCCCCAUUUUGGGUACUGCUCGGUACCAAGGAAAUCUUCCCGGAUGGCCAACAUGGCUAAUAUCAAAGUCACGUUUCCCAGGAGGAGUUGAACAGCUGUCCAAGGAAAACAAACAUGAAGAACGGGCCCGGGAAAAGGAAAGGGCGCGGGAGGAAGCAGCCGUGGAACAGAAACGCGAGAAGGGAGCGGAGAAACGGCG